RNAcentral lists this ribosomal RNA (429 nucleotides) under Chloroflexota bacterium. RNAcentral describes it as "Chloroflexi bacterium partial 16S ribosomal RNA". It matches the Rfam family "Bacterial small subunit ribosomal RNA", at positions 355 to 776 of the family's 1533-position model. The record is from RNAcentral. Lineage: Bacteria; Bacillati; Chloroflexota.
UGGGGAAUAUUGCACAAUGGGCGCAAGCCUGAUGCAGCCAUGCCGCGUGUAUGAAGAAGGCCUUCGGGUUGUAAAGUACUUUCAGCGGGGAGGAAGGGAGUAAGGUUAAUAACCUUAUCAAUUGACGUUACCGACAGAAGAAGCACCGGCUAACUCCGUGCCAGCAGCCGCGGUAAUACGGAGGGUGCAAGCGUUAAUCGGAAUUACUGGGCGUAAAGCGCACGCAGGCGGUUGAUUGAGUCAGAUGUGAAAUCCCCGGGCUUAACCCGGGAAUUGCAUCUGAUACUGGUCAGCUAGAGUCUUGUAGAGGGGGGUAGAAUUCCAUGUGUAGCGGUGAAAUGCGUAGAGAUGUGGAGGAAUACCGGUGGCGAAGGCGGCCCCCUGGACAAAGACUGACGCUCAGGUGCGAAAGCGUGGGGAGCAAACAGG